UAGCUUUUCUCCUGAAAGUUGGGCGU
This 26-nucleotide non-coding RNA is filed under the name Rattus norvegicus (Norway rat). The record is from RNAcentral. Lineage: Eukaryota; Metazoa; Chordata; Mammalia; Rodentia; Muridae.